AGCGCUGUUGCCUAGUUGGUCAAAGUGGCUGCCUAGCAAACAGGAGAUCUUGGGUUAGAAUCCCAGCAGUGCCU
This is a non-coding RNA of Danio rerio (zebrafish), 74 nucleotides long. The record is from Rfam. Lineage: Eukaryota; Metazoa; Chordata; Actinopteri; Cypriniformes; Danionidae.